RNAcentral lists this ribosomal RNA (440 nucleotides) under uncultured bacterium. RNAcentral's name for it is "partial 16S ribosomal RNA". It matches the Rfam family "Bacterial small subunit ribosomal RNA", at positions 338 to 795 of the family's 1533-position model. The record is from RNAcentral.
CCUACGGGUGGCAGCAGUGGGGAAUAUUGCACAAUGGGGGAAACCCUGAUGCAGCGACGCCGCGUGAGUGAAGAAGUAAUUCGUUAUGUAAAGCUCUAUCAGCAGGGAAGAAAAUGACGGUACCUGAGUAAGAAGCCCCGGCUAACUACGUGCCAGCAGCCGCGGUAAUACGUAGGGGGCAAGCAUUAACCGGAUUUACUGGGUGUAAAGGGGGCGUAGACGGCAGUGCAAGUCUUGGGUGAAAGGCGGGGACUCAACCCCCGGACUGCUCUGGAAACUGUACGGCUGGAGUGCAGGAGGGGUAAGUGGAAUUCCUAGUGUAGCGGUGAAAUGCGUAGAUAUUAGGCGGAACACCAGUGGCGAAGGCGGCUUACUGGACUGUAACUGACGUUGAGGCUCGAAAGCGUGGGGAGCAAACAGGAUUAGAUACCCGGGUAGUC